Molecule: long non-coding RNA, 1295 nt
Organism: Pogoniulus pusillus (Red-fronted tinkerbird)
Lineage: Eukaryota; Metazoa; Chordata; Aves; Piciformes; Lybiidae
Exons: 6
Source: RefSeq, a predicted model, not a curated record
AGUUAAGGCAGGGUAGUGGUUGACAGCUGGGAGAGCUAAGGGGCAGAAAUUCCAUUGAUAGGGUCUGGGAGGCUUUUCAGCCUCUUCAGCUGCAGCUUGUGGUUGCAUCAGGAUCUCACCCCUUUGUAGCAGGAGCAAGGCACCCUACAGCUGCCUGCCCACCUCCAGCCAGAGCCUUGCCAGAGCUCUGGCUCCUCAGGAAGCCCACGUCUAGCAAUUCAUCUCCCAGACAUCUCCCAUGUCUCUGCAGCUUCCUUCUCAGCUGACCCCUAGCUUCAGCUCAGGCUUUUUCUCCUCCUGAAUUAUAUUUCACCUGUCAAAUCCACAGAGAUGAAGUGUGUGGAAACUCUUUGCAGAUCCACCUGAUUGCUGCUUGCUGUAUCCAAGCUUCAGCUGCUUCAAAGGGCGCAAAUGGGAGUAUUGACAAGUUCAACGGGGAGACUCAUCAGCAGCACAAACGCCGAGCAGGCUGUACAGAAAAGAAGAAAGCUCUACCAGAACAAGCUUGGCUUGGUUCCCACUGUCAGUUUGGCUCCCUCCAACAACAAUCAACCAGGACAGGAGCAUCUGCUUCACUCAGAAGGGCUACAAGCAUCAUCUGUGCACCCCAACACAGCAGCCGUGAGCCUUUCCCUCUCAAACUGCUGUCAGUGCAGAACUCUUCAGCCAGAGAGUCUUUGCAGAGCACCUUCUAACCUCAACUUCUACAACCCCAACCCCUCACUGCAUCCUUGGCAUGAUCAGGGGUCACUGAAGUGGGGGAUGUGCCUGAUGCCCAGGGAGGUCUCUGAGGAAGAAUUGGAGCAGGCUCCUCCUCUCAAUUGAUGGUGACUCCCUCUGCAUGCUGGGCCCUGCAGUUCCCCCCGUGGCUGGGGGCAGGAGAAGCCUGGUACCAGAUAAUCUCUGUGCAGGACAUGAGUCCUAAGCCCAGCCUUUGAUGUGAUGUGGCCUUGAUCCCUCUGCUGUGUGCACAGAAGACUCUGUUGGUGAGAAAUGCUCCAACUUGCUGCAUGGACCUUGCAAGAAGAUCACCCAAAGGCUUUUGGGCAUCUGUGACUAUCCAAACCCUGACCCCUCCACCCUGCUCCAUUUGAAUUCAUCCUGGCACCUCGUGGGAAGCUGUAAGAGGCACAAGAAAGCAUAAGAAGGGCAGGGCAAAGGAGCCACUGGAUGGAGGCAAGCUGAGGAAGGAGUGAAGCAGGCUGCUGGUUCUCCUGAACCCUCCCUCCCCUCCCCACCAGGCAAGUACAGGAAAUUUGUUCAUUUAUUGCUGCUUAAUAAUAUAUAGUUAUGCA